UGGGAAUCUGCCCUUCGGUUCGGAAUAACAGUUAGAAAUGACUGCUAAUACCGGAUGAUGUCUUCGGACCAAAGAUUUAUCGCCGAGGGAUGAGCCCGCGUAGGAUUAGCUUGUUGGUGAGGUAAAAGCUCACCAAGGCGGCGAUCCUUAGCUGGUCUGAGAGGAUGAUCAGCCACACUGGGACUGAGACACGGCCCAGACUCCUACGGGAGGCAG
This 216-nucleotide ribosomal RNA is filed under the name uncultured bacterium. RNAcentral describes it as "partial 16S ribosomal RNA". It matches the Rfam family "Bacterial small subunit ribosomal RNA", at positions 118 to 351 of the family's 1533-position model. The record is from RNAcentral.